Long non-coding RNA from Frankliniella occidentalis (western flower thrips), 578 nucleotides. RefSeq lists it as uncharacterized. NCBI's taxonomy places the organism in Eukaryota, Metazoa, Arthropoda, Insecta, Thysanoptera, Thripidae. The record is from RefSeq and is a predicted model, not a curated record. The transcript has 3 exons.
AGGGGGCAAAGGGUCUCGCCGGGCCGGCGUGUGUAGCGAGACGGGCGCGGUGGUGCGCUUUAGUGGCCGAGGCGAGUCGAGGAGCGAGGCGAGACCAGCAGCGCCGGUCGUGAGCGUGGUAAGCGUGGCGCGGGCGUGCGUAAGCGUGCGCCACUCCGUCGACUUGCACCGCGUCGGCCCUUCGACCGGCGCCGGCGCCGCCUCGCUGCGGCCGUUCACUGCGGGCGAAUAACGCCUGGAGUACCGUGGUCGCCCUGCUCACUCCUCAGGUCGACAUGCACUGGCGGCCCCCCUCCGGCGAGACGGGCGACCCGGGGUCGGCGGGCUGUGGAUCGCGGCUUCGCCCGGGGACCGGGCCAGGCUCAGCCGCGGGCAGCACCGCGGGGAACUUGGGGGCGGGCACGGACGUGGAGGAGGGGAGUAUUUCUAGUGAGGAUGAGGGCGGUAACUCCGGUGCGGACGAGCCGGCAGUGCGGAGCACGCAGGCGCAGCUGGUCUGGAGCCUGGAAGACAUGCUGGCGAGCCUCAGGCUGCAGGUGGACGGCGAGGACUGGCUGAGCGCCCACGGCAUCGCCGAC